GGGCGUUUAGCUCAGUUGGUUAGAGCGUUGCAUUCACAUUGCAAAGGUCACUGGUUCGAAUCCAGUAACGCCCA
Molecule: transfer RNA, 74 nt
Filed under: Patescibacteria group bacterium
Lineage: Bacteria
Also listed under: 1 other name
Description: tRNA-Val
Rfam family: tRNA
About the family: Transfer RNA (tRNA) molecules are approximately 80 nucleotides in length. Their secondary structure includes four short double-helical elements and three loops (D, anti-codon, and T loops).
Source: RNAcentral